Microcebus murinus (gray mouse lemur) is the source of this 1745-nucleotide non-coding RNA. The record is from RefSeq and is a predicted model, not a curated record. NCBI's taxonomy places the organism in Eukaryota, Metazoa, Chordata, Mammalia, Primates, Cheirogaleidae.
CUUGGCAGUUAUACAAGGCUGAGAGAGGACAGAAAUGUGUCUGCCUUGCACAGGAGCCCACUUUCUGUGGAUCAUGAAAGAUACUUAGUCUAAAAGCGAAUUUUACUCUCAGACACCAAGUCCAGAUCAGCCAGUUGUGGGGCCACUAGUAUCAACUCCAUAUUGCAACUUCCCACAAAGCCAAAGACCAUAAGCAACCCAGUGGAUUUUAAUGCGGUUGAUUCUGUGGAAUAGUCUUUGAGAAGCAUUGCAUUUGCACAAGGAGAAAAUAAAACAAAAAUAUUUUUUCACUGGAAAGCAUUAAAUAGCACUGUACUUUAUAUAUCUUACCUCAUUCGAAGAUCAUAACCACCAUAUGAGGAAAAUAGUAUUAUUGUCAUCAUUUUCCAAGCAAGGAGACAAAAGCACAGAAAAGUUGAGAAAAUCAUCAUCUUUACAUCUUGCAGACAGCAGAACCAGUACUUAAACCCACACGGCAUUGCUCUGGAGCCCACACCCUUAGCCACCACGCCUAAGGACUCGAGUCUAACUAAUAUCAACACUGCUGCCAUUACUGCCUGCAAACUAAUUAUCUUCAUAUUUGUGUUGUUUGCUUCACUAAAUAUGUCCUCUGUGAUGGAGAAGAUUCUAUAAUGGAAAAAAAAAAAAAGAAAACAAUGGAAGAUAAAUGUAAAAAGGGAAUUUGUCUAUUGAAAUUUCUAACAGCUAAUAUCAGUACAGGCUGUCGGUUAUUACACAUUUUUCAAAAGUGAGGAUUUAAAAUCAAUUCCCGGGAGUUGUUUCUAGACAAUGAGGUCCACGGAGACAACAACUGAGCUACAUCCUUCUUGUCUACUGCUAUUUCCAAAGGGCCAGACGCAGUGCCUGUGAAAGCAGACUUUGCUUUAAUUAAAACCACCAUCGCACGCUAAGACAUUCUGCAUGGGAACAUCUCCAACGGUGGCACCUUUAUGGAACCUUUGUCUGAUAAUUUCAGUCCCCAUGAACUGUGCAUUCCAAGGAUACAGUACAGCUGUCACUGAGGACAUUAAAUUUGGGGCAUUCACACCAGCUGCAGUGACAGACUGCAACCAAAAGCUGCAGGCACCAUCCCUGCCAGGAGCCAGACGUCUGCAUAUUAUCUCUGUGGCCUAAGGAUGGUCAGAUGGUCAUUUAAACGACCAGCUUUUAAUGCGUCUUACUCACUACUUUGGGGUUUGCUGUGAGAAGAAGGUAUUGGAACAUAUUAGUGUGUUGAUAGGGAUUAUUCUGAAACCUGUCAAGUGACUCUACUCUGUGACAUUUGAUAAGGAGAAUGAAUAUAAAAUGUGAAGCCCUGGAACUCUUGGGAGGAAAAAAACUCGUGUUUACAUCUCAUAAAGAAGUUGUACAUAGCCACAGAGGAGAGUUUUAUUAGCAGCCGUGCCUGCCAGAUUGCUUACCUCUGCAUCAAAGUGUUCAAUAUAUAGUUGCCAAAUGAAUAAAUGCAAAAAGAAGCAGGACACUGAAAAGCCAAAGGUAAGAGCAUGUUGAGGUUGCAGAGGUGGGAGACAGCAAGCAGUAAUUCAGCGUAACUCCACCUGCAUGAAUCUCUGAAUGUUACAGACAGACGGGACACAAACAAACACUGUGGAUUCUAUUUGAAUAUUAAAAGAAAGACUGACCUCUUUCUUUUAGAGGGCUUAGGGAAACACGGAAUGUAUGUUUUUCUUUGUCCUAGACCUGGAGCCUUUUUAGCCAUCCAAGUCUUGUGCAAUCUUAUCCAA